RNAcentral lists this ribosomal RNA (613 nucleotides) under Staphylococcus sp. EECC-270. Its description in RNAcentral is "bacterial SSU rRNA". It matches the Rfam family "Bacterial small subunit ribosomal RNA", at positions 85 to 693 of the family's 1533-position model. The record is from RNAcentral. Lineage: Bacteria; Bacillati; Bacillota; Bacilli; Caryophanales; Staphylococcaceae.
CUACUGACUAGCGGCGGACGGGUGAGUAAUGCUUAGGAAUCUGCCUAUUAGUGGGGGACAACAUUCCGAAAGGAAUGCUAAUACCGCAUACGCCCUACGGGGGAAAGCAGGGGAUCUUCGGACCUUGCGCUAAUAGAUGAGCCUAAGUCAGAUUAGCUAGUUGGUGGGGUAAAGGCCUACCAAGGCGACGAUCUGUAGCGGGUCUGAGAGGAUGAUCCGCCACACUGGGACUGAGACACGGCCCAGACUCCUACGGGAGGCAGCAGUGGGGAAUAUUGGACAAUGGGCGAAAGCCUGAUCCAGCCAUGCCGCGUGUGUGAAGAAGGCCUUUUGGUUGUAAAGCACUUUAAGCGAGGAGGAGGCUACUUGGAUUAAUACUCUAGGAUAGUGGACGUUACUCGCAGAAUAAGCACCGGCUAACUCUGUGCCAGCAGCCGCGGUAAUACAGAGGGUGCGAGCGUUAAUCGGAUUUACUGGGCGUAAAGCGUGCGUAGGCGGCUUUUUAAGUCGGAUGUGAAAUCCCUGAGCUUAACUUAGGAAUUGCAUUCGAUACUGGGAAGCUAGAGUAUGGGAGAGGAUGGUAGAAUUCCAGGUGUAGCGGUGAAAUGCGUAG